This 500-nucleotide ribosomal RNA is filed under the name uncultured bacterium. RNAcentral describes it as "partial 16S ribosomal RNA". It matches the Rfam family "Bacterial small subunit ribosomal RNA", at positions 30 to 523 of the family's 1533-position model. The record is from RNAcentral.
AUUGAACGCUGGCGGAAUGCUUUACACAUGCAAGUCGAACGGCAGCACGGGGGCAACCCUGGUGGCGAGUGGCGAACGGGUGAGUAAUACAUCGGAACGUGCCCAGUCAUGGGGGAUAACGUAGCGAAAGUUAUGCUAAUACCGCAUACGAUCUACGGAUGAAAGCGGGGGACCGUAAGGCCUCGCGCGAUUGGAGCGGCCGAUGUCAGAUUAGGUAGGUGGUGGGGUAAAGGCUCACCAAGCCAACGAUCUGUAGCUGGUCUGAGAGGACGACCAGUCACAGUGGAACUGAGACACGGUCCGGACUACUACGGGAGGCAGCAGUGGGGAAUUUUGGACAAUGGACGCAAGUCUGAUCCAGCCAUUCCGCGUGCAGGAUGAAGGCCCUCGGGUUGUAAACUGCUUUUGUACGGAACGAAAAGGUCUCUCUUAAUACGGGGGACUCAUGACGGUACCGUAAGAAUAAGCACCGGCUAACUACGUGCCAGCCGCCGCAGUAA